RNAcentral lists this long non-coding RNA (1197 nucleotides) under Homo sapiens (human). Its description in RNAcentral is "HSALNT0279778". Lineage: Eukaryota; Metazoa; Chordata; Mammalia; Primates; Hominidae. The record is from RNAcentral.
CCUCUCUAGGGUUGCAUCAUGUUCCCUUGUGUGGAUGGACCACGUUGUGUUUUUCUUCAUCCACUGAUGGUCAUUUGGGUUGAUUCCACUUGAGAUGUUUUUUAACCUACGACUCAGGACACCUGGACUAGAUUAUUCAUGAUUUCUUCCAGAUCUGCGAUCUUAGAUUUAAAUAAAUAGCAGUGUGCCAUUUGGGUCACAGAUGUUAGUUCUGUGUGAAACAGAUCUAUAGAUAGGAAGAAGAAGUUUAACGAAGAGAAGAUACAGACGGGCUGUGAAAAGUACCUGGGAAGAAAUUGAAACUGCAACAGGGAAAUGAUGAUAAAGUUUUUGGUGUGCAAUGGAUUAUAAAAGGCGCUAUACAACGGAGAGAAUGUGUCCUUAUUGUGUUCAGAGGAUGAGAAGGCUAAUUGUUUGGUCUGCCUGCGAGUCCUGAGGAAUUAUUAAGGAAAACCACACCUGUUUCUGCUUUCUCAUCCUGAGGAAUUAUUAAGGAAAACCACACCUGUUUCUGUUUUCUCAUCCUGAGGAAUUAUUAAGGAAAACCACACCUGUUUCUGCUUUCUCAUCCUGAGGCAUUAUUAAGGAAAACCACACCUGUUUCUGCUUUCUCACUCGCAGUGAGAGAGUUCCUGGGAGAGAUGCAGUACCCGGAGGGUUCAUUAUCAGCCCCAGCCGCUGAUGCGCUAUCAGCCUGCGGAGGAGGGAGCCCUGGGGCUUCACUAACCACGGGCUGGAGCUGCCACGCACCAGCUCCAGUGAGAUCGGGGUUUUCGUUUUCAUCCAACACUUUCAACCCAGUUUCUGAUGAAAGGGCUUCUUCCAGUCACCAGAGAAACGGAGUUAAUUUACAUCUGUCAGGCCUCUGAGCCCAAGCUAAGCCAUCAUAUCCCCCGUGACCUGCACUUAUACAUCCAGAUGGCCUGAAGUAACUGAAGAAUCACAAAAGAAGUGAAAAUGUUCCUGCCUUAACUGAUGACAUUACCUUGUGAAAUUCCUUCUCCUGUCUCAUCCUGGCUCAAAAGAUCCCCCACUGAGCACCUUGUGACCCCCACCCCUGCCAGCCAGAGAACAACCCCCUUUGACUGUAAUUUUCCACUACCUACCCAAAUCCUAUAAAACGGCCCCACCCCUGUCUCCCUUUGCUGACUCUUUUCAGACUCAGCCUGCCUGCACCCAGGUGAUUAAAAAGCUUUA